Molecule: ribosomal RNA, 137 nt
Filed under: Jaculus jaculus (lesser Egyptian jerboa)
Lineage: Eukaryota; Metazoa; Chordata; Mammalia; Rodentia; Dipodidae
Source: RNAcentral
UCUACAGCCAUACCACCUGAAUGCACCCAAUCUCAUCUGACCUCAGAAGCUAGGCAGAGUUGGGCCUGAUAAGUACUUAAAUUGGAGAAAUAGAUGUGAAAUAACUUCCAAGUAAGAAGCCUCUGCGUUGCUGCAGA